GUGUGUUUAGCUCAGUGGUAUAAGAGCAGCUCUCAUGAAUGUAGAGGGGUUGUGGGUUCAAAUCCCACAACACACA
Molecule: transfer RNA, 76 nt
Organism: Puccinia triticina 1-1 BBBD Race 1
Lineage: Eukaryota; Fungi; Basidiomycota; Pucciniomycetes; Pucciniales; Pucciniaceae
Rfam family: tRNA
About the family: Transfer RNA (tRNA) molecules are approximately 80 nucleotides in length.
Source: Rfam